This 77-nucleotide transfer RNA is filed under the name Streptomyces paradoxus. RNAcentral describes it as "tRNA-Arg". Lineage: Bacteria; Bacillati; Actinomycetota; Actinomycetes; Kitasatosporales; Streptomycetaceae. The record is from RNAcentral.
GCCGCUGAGCAGGCCUAAUGCAUGAGACGCAUUGGGCCUCCGGAGCCAUAUGCGCAGGUUCGAAUCCUGCCGGGGCA